This 99-nucleotide transfer RNA is filed under the name Holophagales bacterium. Its description in RNAcentral is "tRNA-Sec". It matches the Rfam family "Selenocysteine transfer RNA". The record is from RNAcentral. Lineage: Bacteria; Pseudomonadati; Acidobacteriota; Holophagae; Holophagales.
GGAAGCGCUCGGGGGCUGGUGCCUCCUGCGGUCUUCAAAACCGUUGUCCGGGGCGUCAUGCGUCUCGGGGGUGGGUUCGAUUCCCAUGCGCUUCCGCCA